AAAGUUAAAGUUAUGUCAUUUGACAACAAAAUCAUGAACUGAAUCAAUUAUAUCACUCAGAAUAUAUAAGUCACUUUUCUUAUGGUUUGAUCUCAUAAUUUAUCAUAAACAUUUAUACAUAUAAUCAUGAUUAGUUUGAGAAUAUUAGUAGGAUAUAGGCUUAUAUUAGAUCUUUAGUAUUAGCACAGUCCUGUCUUGUUUAUAGCCAAUUACUCUAUUUUCGAUAUACAAAUUAGAUUUCCAAGAAAUUCUGCAUCAGAUUACAGGUUCAUGAAGGGGAGAAAAAAAAAUCAAAAAAUCAUUUGUUUGGAUUGCUUUGCUCGGUCGCAAUUUCUUGUACAGUUACUGUUCGGAUCUUGAAUCGGCCAAGUUUCCGAGACAGUGAUUGUAGGACACCAGAUCGACCACGAGUUCUGGUUGAAUAAGCCCUUUUAGUCAGAAACACGCGUUUCUUUGUGGUUGCAUAUGGUGUGCAGUGAGAAGAAUGAUAAUGGCUACCCUUUCUCAGUCCUGGCAAGUUGGGAGUAAUGGAGUUGAAGUUGUACCAAUUGGUUGAAGUUGAUUCUGCAGGUGCACCAGUGUGUGCGACGUGUGAUUCAGAAGCUAUGCCUUCCCUUUGCAAUGUUUGCAUGUUCUCAGUUUGAAAAUUUGAAACUAGUGUUGUACCAAAACCUGGUAUAAUGAGUAGUGAUGGAUGAAAGAAAUGAAAAUUAUGCAGAUGAAAUUGGUGGUAGUGGUUAAGUUAACAGAAAUAUUAAGUGUUGGAGAGUACAAUGU
RNAcentral lists this long non-coding RNA (777 nucleotides) under Phaseolus vulgaris (common bean). Its description in RNAcentral is "long non-coding RNA (PVUL_LNC005228)". The record is from RNAcentral. Lineage: Eukaryota; Viridiplantae; Streptophyta; Magnoliopsida; Fabales; Fabaceae.